Molecule: ribosomal RNA, 237 nt
Filed under: uncultured Bacillus sp.
Lineage: Bacteria; Bacillati; Bacillota; Bacilli; Caryophanales; Bacillaceae
Description: partial 16S ribosomal RNA
Rfam family: Bacterial small subunit ribosomal RNA
Source: RNAcentral
CCUUGACGGUACCUAACCAGAGCCACGGNUAACUACGUGCCAGCAGCCGUGUAAUACGUAGGUGGCAAGCGUUGUCCGGAAUUAUUGGGCGUAAAGCGCGCGCAGGCGNUCCUUUAAGUCUGAUGUGAAAGCCCACGGCUCAACCGUGGAGGGNCAUUGGAAACNUGGGNGACUUGAGUCCAGAAGGGAGCNGGAAUUCCACGUGUNGCGGUAAAAUGCCGUAGAGAUGUGAGACAC